This 279-nucleotide long non-coding RNA is filed under the name Rattus norvegicus (Norway rat). RNAcentral's name for it is "long non-coding RNA NONRATT003588". The record is from RNAcentral. Lineage: Eukaryota; Metazoa; Chordata; Mammalia; Rodentia; Muridae.
UCUGGACAUACCUGUUCUUUUCUCAAACUAUUGUAUUUGGACUGGGAAGUAAUUAUCCUCCUAUCACAGGAAGUUCAGGAUACCCACUUUGGGCCUCCUUGCUUGUUGAUCAUUAUCACCAAUGAUGCCCUUUUCCUGUGUAUUAAGAAGAGUGUCACGGUCUCAGUCAAGGAGGAAGGUCUGAUGAUGGUGAAGAACUUUGUUCAAGAAACAGCUUUUUAUUAAGUCUUCCUUAGCAUUUCCUCACCUCCAUUUCAUUAAUAAAAACUGGUAACAGUG